AGUGAUUCUGUUGAGACAGAAUUAGCAUCUCUGUUUCGUGCUGGAGCAGCUAGCAGAAGUUCGGCUGUGACACCAGGAAAUCAAGAACAAUGGUUGGCUGGUCCUGCAAUUCCCCGUUUCCAAGCCCAGCAGUGUUUUGGACCUUGGUCUACCAGCAAGAGAAGAAGACCCAAAGGGAUCCAAUACCAUGAAAGCUUUAAUAAAGAAGUAAUACUUCUUCCUGAUUCCACAUGGGAAGUGAUUUGCAAGCCACCUUUCAAGCAAUACUUACAUGAAAAUGGACAUAUACUGAGUGCUUUUGAGUUUCAUAAGUCUUGGGACUAUCAUACUGUGAUUCAGCAAAU
Long non-coding RNA from Austrofundulus limnaeus, 344 nucleotides. RefSeq lists it as uncharacterized. The transcript has 3 exons. The record is from RefSeq and is a predicted model, not a curated record. Lineage: Eukaryota; Metazoa; Chordata; Actinopteri; Cyprinodontiformes; Rivulidae.